This is a long non-coding RNA of Zingiber officinale, 301 nucleotides long. RefSeq lists it as uncharacterized. The transcript has 2 exons. The record is from RefSeq and is a predicted model, not a curated record. Lineage: Eukaryota; Viridiplantae; Streptophyta; Magnoliopsida; Zingiberales; Zingiberaceae.
UGCAGGCAAAGGCCAUGCAGGACCCCGAAAUACAAAAUAUCCUAACAGAUCCUGUCAUGCGACAGGUGUUGAUUGACCUCCAAGAGAACCCUAAGGCUGCACAGGAUCAUCUCAAGAACCCCCAAGUGAUGCAGAAGAUACAAAAGCUUAUGGCGUCUGGAGUCAUUCAAAUGAGAUAGAACGUGAAGUAUGUGGGAGUCGUUGGUCAUCAUUUUGUCUUUUUCAGCUGUGAACAUAAUCAUAUUACAAGUGCUUUAUGAUUCCUCCUCCAAGUUUUUGUCUCAGUUAUGCCUUUGUUUUA